This 72-nucleotide transfer RNA is filed under the name Phycisphaerales bacterium. Its description in RNAcentral is "tRNA-Gln". It matches the Rfam family "tRNA". Rfam says of the family: Transfer RNA (tRNA) molecules are approximately 80 nucleotides in length. Their secondary structure includes four short double-helical elements and three loops (D, anti-codon, and T loops). The record is from RNAcentral. Lineage: Bacteria; Pseudomonadati; Planctomycetota; Phycisphaerae; Phycisphaerales.
UGGCCCGUGGUGUAAUCGGCAACACACCUGUUUUUGGUACAGGCAUUCAAGGUUCGAGUCCUUGCGGGCCAG